CAGGCUCACAAAUAAUCUAAGUAGGAUCUAGAAUUGCUAGGAUUUACGAAAUACCGGCUUUCGAGUGAGUUCUUUAGUCUCCACCCGAAGAUGAUUAUCACAGUUGAGUGUGGGCAAAUGUAGAGGACCCUAGCAAGGGCAGGACCCGCAGCCCCUGUUCCGGCAGCUGGAGUGGGGCCAGAGCGGAGGUGGUGUCAGAGCGGAAAUCGAACCCGGAGCAGGGGUUCAGCUUGGGGCUGUGGGGAAUUUGCGAGGUGGGUCCGCUCCUGGCCGGCGGGAGAGGAGUCCGGAGGUGGCUGGAGCCAGGGCUGGGAAGAGAGAAGGCGCACCACUGAGCUGCCAGACGCACGGAUCGCGGGCGGGGACCCGGGCGAGCCUGGGAUCGCGGCUCUCGGAAGCGACAGAAGUGCCGAAGUCGCGGUCUGCGUCCUUGCGCGGGAGUCUCGGGGCGAUGAGAGUGCGCGUCAAGGUAAACGCUGGUCCCGCCACUGUGUGCUCCCGCGGCUCACUCGGCGCGGCCCGGACCCGCAGCCACAACUCCCGCGCCCUGGCCCAGCUUCAAGGCUGGCACCCCGCGCGACAGGGAGUUUUGGGGGCUUGGAAAGGAGGGCGCCCCCGGCUACUGGGAGAGCUCUGGCUAUGCUUGGGAAAGGAGAGAGCUUGUGGAAUUUAGGGGCGAGGCUGGUCUCCUUUAGGCAGCCAAACCUUAAACUGGCUACCACUUACCUAUUUUUCUGGACUUCCACACAUUGUGUAUGAAAUGCGAAGUACCAUUAUUAAGCACGUUGUGUUCAGACGUAGUACAGGAUGCUUGCCAAAUGUUAGCUCAUUUCAGCCAGGUCUGGUUGAUAAGAGCAUUUUCUCUGGAGCUAGAUAGCCUGAAUUAGCAUCUCAGGUGUACCACUACCAGUGACCUUGGGUAAGUUAGUUCACCUCUGUGGGCAGGUUCCUCAUCUGGAAAAUGGGAGAAUACUACUUGUAAUUUAAAGAUUUAGUGGGACCUUAUAUGCCAUAUGCUCUUAGAAUAAUACCUAAUAUAUUCUGCAGGUUGUAAGAGAUUGUGAUUUGUAACUAUUUCAUGCUGAAAUAAUCCCAUAAAGUCUAAGCAUAAUCACUCCCCCAUUUCUACUAAUUUUCUAGUCAAAAUAUGAGGCUGGGACUGAGACUGUAGCUCAGUGGCAGAGUACUUGCCUAGUAUGUGUGGGGCACUGGGUUUGAUCCUUAGCACGGCAGAAAAGUAAACAAAUAAAGGCAUGCUGUCCAUACACAACUACCGAAAAAAAUCUUUAAAAAAUGAGGCUGUGUGAGAAAAGUAGAAUUGAGAUAUGAACCUGGGUCAGUGGCCUAAAACACUGAGAACAUGGAUAUUCUAGCUGCACACAUGAUUGUGGUUUGUUCUAGGAAAGAGUUGUGAAUUACCCUUAACUGCCAAAGUAAGAAAUGGGUUCUUCAACUACUUUCCAUCUGUAUACAGAUUUUGAUAUGUCAUUUUGACAUCCCUUUGGAUUUUGCCAUGACUGAUAAAGUAUUAGAAUAUUUUGGCUAGACUGGAAUCGGGGGCUUGACUGUAAGAAUCUGGCUGCUUAGUUAGCUUGUUUCCUAGAGUACAAACAUCAUAUAAGCAGUCUCUCUCUCCUGGUUUAAAAUGAAAAUCAUUAGCUUUUGCUCCACUAGACCCAUACCCCUAAGAUAUAGAAGUAGAGCUUCUGAAUGGACAAAAUAAAAUGUGAUAUAUUAGAAAUAUAUACAUAAAUAAAAUAUUAUUCAGUCUUAAAAAGGGUGGAAAUAGUUGGAUACUGUGAUGCAUGUCUGUCAUCCCAGAAACUCAGGUGGCUGAGGAAGGAGGGGUGCAAGUUUGAGGCCAGCUUCAGCAAUUUAGUGAGACACUCAAAGUAAAAAUAAAAUAAGGGCUGGGGAUGUAGCUCAGCAGUAGAGCAUCUCUGGAUUCUAUCCUGAAUAUAGAUCAAUUAAAAAAAAAGGGCAAAGGAAACUCUGACAUAUAAUAUGGAUGAACCUUGAAGUUCAAUAAGCCAGUUGCAAAAAGACAAAUAUUUCAUGAUUCCCCUUGUAAGCCAUCUAAAGAAGUAAAGUUUAUAGAAACAAAGUAGAAUGGCAAUUGCCAUGGUUUAAAAGAGGGGAAUAGGGAAAUUGUUAAUGGGUACAGAAUAUUAGUUUUUUUAAACUUAUAAUUACUAAUGCAUAUUAACUGUACAAAUAAAUGGGUUUCACUGGGACUUUUUCACGCAUGCUAUGCAAGUGCUCCAUCACUGAGCCACAUCCAUAGUCCUGCAUAUAUUUAGUGUGCUAUGCUCUUGUCCACUCUCCCUUCUGCCAUCUUUCGUUUUUGCAGUGCUGAGGAUCCAAUCUAGGGCCUUGCACAUAUAUUCUACCACUGAGCUAUGUAUGCCUCCAGAUCCUGGACUUUCAGUUUUGCAAGAUGAAAGAUUUCUGGAGAUUGGUUGUACAAUAAUGUACAAUUGGUUGUACAAUAAUGUACUUAACACUAUGGAACUGUACACUUAAAAAUGGUUAGGAUAUGGGGCCUGGUGGUGCAUGUCUGUAAUCCCAGUGGCUUGGGAGGUUUGCAGGUUCAAAGACAGCCUCAGCAAUUUAGCAAAGCUGUAAGAAACCUAAUGAGACCGCAUCUCAAAAAAUAAAAAGGGAUGGGAUAUAGCUUAGUGGCUAAGUACCCUCGGGGGUUCAAUGCCUGAUACAAAAAAAAAAAAAAGUUAAAUGUGCCUUUUUACUUAUGUGUUAUUUAUUUAUUUUAGUUCUGGGAAUUGAACUCAGAUGCUAACCACUGAGCCACAUCCCCAGACCUUUUUAUUUAUUUUUAUUUUGAGACAGGUCUGAUGCUGAAGGUCUUGACAAGGUUGCUUGCAAUGCCCCUAUCUCAACCUCUCAAAUUGCUAGGAUUACAGGUGUGUGACACCAUGCCUGGCAAAUGUUAUAUAUAUUUCUACCAUAACUUAAAACAAAACAAAGGAAGAUUCUCACACAAAUUUCUUCAUAAUGGGAUUUGUUUUCUACUUCUUUCAAAAUAAUGUUCUUUUUUUGUGUGCGUGGAACUGGGGAUUGAGUCCCAGGACUCUUGCAUGCCAGGCAAGCACUCUACUGCUGAGCUGCAUUUCCAGACUUUGAGUUUGGUAAUUGAAUCGACUUUCAGCUGAGUCUUAACUUUUGACUGGAACCCACAGGUUUUCCAGGGUAUCAGGAGGGCAGGGCAAUGGAGUACCCUUGAAAACUUUUUUCUGUUUGACUUGGCACCAGAGUAUUUUUUAGUCCCCUUGUUUGGGGUAGCCCAGCGUCACUUCCCCUUGCUCUUAAUGAGAGUUGGCAUUUCCUUAUCUCUGAAGAAGGGGUUCUUUGGUUAUUUAUAUUACAGGAAAACUCUGAGAAUAUUUGAGUGUCACAACCAGUUUCAAGCAGUGGGAGGUAGUAGAAUUGCAUAUCAUAUGAUUUACCCAUUAGUGUAUUAACAGUUGAACAGCCAUCAUCACAAUUUAAAAAUAUUUAUCAUCCCCCAAAGAAAUACUACAUCCCAUAGCCAUCACACUCUAGUCCUUCCAUCCAUACCACCCUGGAAACCACUAAUCUUUUUGUCUCUGUAGAUUUGCCUAUACUGGGCAUUUUACAUAAAUGGAUGCAUACUGCUUGUGGUUGUUUGUGACUGGCUUAUUUCCCUUGCCAUUAAUGUGUCAAGUUUCAUAUUGUAGCAUAUCGGGUACUUCUUCUUUGUAUUGCUAACGCUAUUCCAUGGAUGCAUGGAUGUAUCAUAAUUUAUUUGCCUGUUAGUCAUUUGAUGGAUAUUUCAGCUGUUUUACUUUUUUUGGGCUAUUAUGAAUAAUGCUGCUAUGAACUUUUGUGAACAAGUGUUUGUGUGAAUUUAGGUUUUCAUUUCUCUUUGGUAGAUCCUUAAGAGUGGAAAUGCUGGACGGUAUGGAAAAUCUGUUUGGAUUUUUUUGUUUGUUUGUUUGUUGGGUACUGGGGAUUAGCCCAGGAGUGCUUUACCACUGAAGUACAUCCUCAGCCCUUUUAAUUUUUUCUUUUGAGACAGGGUCUUGCUAAGUUGCUUAGGGCCUCGCUAAGUUGCUGGGGCUGACUUUGAAGUUGUGAACUUCCUGCCUCAGGUUCCCAAAUUGCUGGGAUUAUAGGUGUGUACCACCAUGCGUGGCUUUUGUUUAGAUUUUUUGAGGUACUUCCCCAAAGCAUUUAUUGUACCAUUUUUACAUUUCCACCAGCAAUCUAUGAUAGUUUCAAUUUCUCCCCAUCUUUUGUAUUGUCGAAUUUCCUUUUAUUACAGUCAGGCUAGUGGAUAUAAAGAGGAAACUUGUGGUUUUGAUUUGUAUUUUCCUAAGGUCUAAUGGAUUUGAGCAUCUUUUCAUGUGCUUAUUGGCCAUUUGUAAUCUUCUUUGGAAAACUAUUUAGGUCUUUUGGGUAGAAUUUAUUUUUGAUCCAGCUCUUAAGAUAUUUUUCCUGAAAAAUGACAUCCACACAAAAGUCAGUAUAUAAUAUCUUAGGGUUCAUGACUCCCCUGAUAAUACUGUGAGUCUGACUUCUAGAGAGAACAUAGCAGGGUCUUUCCUCAAAAUUUUACCUGCUUGAUUUUACUCAUUACUACUAUCAGGGAUCUUAGUGGACUUGUGUGAUAAUGAUUCAGGAAGAUAAUUUGCAAACCCUAAGACAUUACUUUUAAGACAAAAUUCUUGACACUAAGGGUUCUCUGAAAUAAGGGGUUCAGUGAGCUGUUACAAAUGCUAGUCAGAAAAGGACCCACCCAGUCCUGGAACAAUUCUGCAACUAUCAGCAGUUGGAAAUAUGUCUAUUGGAGCUAAGAGUCAAGAGCAUUUUUAUAACAAAUGUGGGGAGAGUAUAAACUGUGUUCACUGAACCUACAUUGGCUGUAAAUAAGAGGGGCAGAAUUUGGGGAGGGGACGACAGUCCAUAAGAAGUACUUAUUACUUCUGGACUGGUUGGGGUUAGUAAUCCAGAUGUUCCUAUGUAAGAAUGGGUAGUGGCACCUGGAAUCAGCUGCCUAAGGUCUAAGUUAUGGUUAUAUUAUACAUUAAAAGAGGAAACAGUUUUUGCUGUUGAUGAUGAUGAUCUUGGCCCAUAGCUUUAACUGAUUAAUUUACCUUAUUUUCCUGCGCCCAUUCUCUGGCCCUUAUGAUUAAAUUUAAGACAUCAGAGAAUGAAUUAAUCUUUCUUUCUUUCUUUCUUUCUUUCUUUCUUUCUUUCUUUCUUUCUUUCUUUCUUUCUUUCUUUCUUUCUUUCUCUCUCUCUCUCCCCCUCCCUCCCUCCCUCCCUCUCUUUUUCUCUUUCUUUCUUAUUUUACUACUUCAGGGAUUGAUGUAGCCCGAGAAUUUUUGUUUUGUUUUAUUUCCAGUUGGGGCCUUGCUAUGUUACUCAGGCUGGCUCAGAAUUCCUGGGCUCAAGUGAUCCUCUUGCCUCAGCCUCCCAAGUAGCUGGGACUGCAGGUGUGCAUCACUGUCCCUGACUUGGUAUUGACACAAGUUCUGCAGAUAUCUGAUGGUGAAGUGGUUACUGAGGGCACAGACAUAAGUCAGACUUCCUGGGUAUGAAUCUUAGUAUUACUCCCCCCGCCCCCAGUAAGGAAGAUUGAACCCAGUGGUGCUCUACCACUGAGCUACAUCCCCAGCCCUUUUUAUUUAUCUUGAGACAGGGUCUCACUAAAUUUCUCAGGCUGUCUUUAAACUUGUGAUCUUUCUGUCUCACCUUCCUAAGUCACUGGGAUUACAAACACGUGCCACCACACCCAGCCCCCAGUGUCACUUUAAUAAGCUGAUGUGUCUCUGGGGCAGUUUAUCCUCUCUUUAGACUCAAUGUUCUUUUUCAUACCUUGGAGAUAAUAAUUUAACCCAGCUUCUCUUGGGCAGAUUAAGUAAGUUAAUAAACAAAAUGCUUUGUAUUGUGCAGGUGGGCACACAGAGAGUAUGGAAUAUAUGGAAUAAAUUGUUAGCCUGUUGUUAGUAUUUAUCCUGCAGACUAGGUUGACCUGUGAAUAUAAAACAUCUUCCUCUUCCUGGAGGAAGCAGAUCUCCUCCAUUGAUCUUUUAAGGACCAAGAAAUUUUUGUCAAUUGAAACUUGUAAACUCCUCAGGAAAACCAGUUUUCUUCUCAGAUGGGUUUAAUCCACAGAGUACUUUACAGAUCCUUGGCCUGUAUCAGUUAAUCCUCUCCAACUUCUGUUAACACUGUCAGUAUCUGCUUCAGGGGGAUUUUAAAGUAAAACAAACCAAACAACAAUCUUCAACCUAUAUGAACUAGAAAAACUCAAUCUUCAGAGCAGGCAGCUUUGCUGUUUGGCCCAAGGAAAGGCAUGUAAAUAUUUUUGGAUUAAAUUAGAAAAGAGGGUCCAAAACAUUUUUUUCUUUUAAGUUUUUGUUUUUGUUUUGUUCACUGUGGUGAGCGUUGAAUCCAGAGCCUUGCCUAUGUUAGGUGAGCACGCUAUCAUUGAGCUAUUUCUCCAGCUACCUUGCUUUUAAAAUGUAUUCAUUUAUUGUUAUUAUUGUUGUUGUUGUUACUGAAGACUGGAUGCAGAGGCACUUUUCCACUGAGCUACAUCACCAGCCCUUUUUAUUUUAUUUUGAGACAGGGUCUAACUGGCUCUGUCCUUGUCCCCAAUGCCAAUCCAAUAAUGAGGACGCAGUUUUGAGAAAAAAAGAAAAAGAAAUUUUAUUAUUUUGCUAGCAAAGGAGAAAUACAGGGGACUCCUGUCCCAGAGGCUGUGAUUCUGCCCAUCAGGGGAAUAGGGGGUUUUAAAAGAGUUGAUUCAGAAGAAUCCUGUUUCCAGAGAUUAGGGAGGAGAGAUUAGGAAGGCCAGGGAAGAAAAGAUCAGGGAGGAGAGGAUCAGGGAGGAGAAAAAACAUGUCAAUGUGAGAGCAGCAAGGGACAUAUUCAAAGCAUAAGGUGGAUCACCAUUACACUGCCUCAGUCUCCCAAGGGGCUGGGAUUACAAGGCAUGGGCCACUCUACCCGGCCUUUCCUUUAAAAAAAAGACAGUUUUCUCUAAGUGGCCCAGGCUGGCCUCGACUUUGUGGGCUCAAAAAAUCCUCCUGCCUCAGCCUCUGUAGUGGCUGGGACUACAGAUGUUCUCCACUGCACUUGGCUCCAAGGAUCCAAAAUCAUAAAAUUUAAAACUUUGCCAGGUGAGGUAGUGUACCUAUAAUUCUAGCUACUCAGGAUGCUGAGUCAGGAGGAUUCUCAAUUCAAAGCCAGUUUCAGCAACUAGGUAAGGUCCUGUCUCAAAAAAAAAAAAAAAAAAAAAACCUUUCUAAAAUUUUAGGAUAAACUUUGGAAAGCAAAAAGAAGGAGUUGUAAAUUGGCAUUAGACUUUAUAGACUGGACUUUUUUUUACAUUUUUUUAGGUGUCAAUGGAUCUUUUAUUUUAUUUAUUUAUAUGUGGUGCUGAGGGUUGAAUCCAGGGCCUCACACAUGCAGGUAAGCGCUGUACCACUAAGCCACAACUCCAGCCCUAUAGAUUGAAUCUUAAUUUCUACAGGAAACAAAGAGGCAAGCUACUUGGGUUUGAGUUUCUCAAGCUACUUAUAGUUACUUCUCCAGCUACCUUGCUUUUAAAAAUUUAUUCAUUUAUUGUUAUUAUUGUUGUUGUUGUUUGGUACAUUCCCAAACAUGUUUGAGUUGCUCAGCCUCCUUAUAGUUACUUUCCGCAAAUGGGAAAGCAUUUUGGAGAAGAAGCUCUUAUCCUGGAGACAUUUAGAAGAAAUUGCAUCUUGCUGGUGGGCACUUGGAUUUAACAACCAGCCAGCUGAAGAAGCAGGGUUGACAGGUGAAGAACCAGGAGCUCUGCAUUCGGAGGGAGCCCUCCAAGGCCUUUUCUCUGAGGGUCCUGUUACUGUGAGUGUCUCUUUAAGGGCAGAUCUGGGGUAAGGUCCAGGAGGAGCUGUUACUGAGAGGUUCUGGAAUCCUGUGUUUAAUAAGUGGAGGCACUGUGGCAACAACGCUCCCCUCUCCUUCCUGAGUGGCAAGCAAAGUUCAGUCAGUCUCUAAACAGCAGCACUGGGACUUUGAAUAUCAAGAGUAAUAGCAAGAAACAGAAGUUGGGAAACUUUAGCCUAGCAGAUAAUAUUUCAUAUCUGCCAACCUCUGUUACUCACAGGAUUCUUGGUGUCCCACUGACAGAUUUCUGAGUCUCAACUUUCUGGACCACAAAUAUCUUCCUGUUGUGUGUGAUGUUGGGAAACUGAGGCAGGAAAUCACAAGUUCAAGGUCAGUCAAGCAAUUUAGUGAGGCCUUAAGCAAUUUAGUGAGGCCCUUUCUAAAAAAAAAAAAAAAAAAAGGAGGGGACCGGGGGGUAUGGUUUGGUUAAGCAGCCCUGGGUUUAAUCCCCAGUAAUAUAAAAACAUCUUCCUCUUAGAAUUUGGGGGGAAUUAAUUAUUCUGGAUGUGAGAUUUCUUUUUCCUGAAUAUCAAGUGACUGACUUGAACCCUACUCUAAAUCUUUAAUUUAGAUUUGACAGGAUAAAAAUUGUAAAGAUUUUUUUCAAGAGCUUUUACCUUAAUCUCAGAGCUGGGGUAUAGCUCAAUGGUUGACCUCAUAUUCAUCAGGUCCAAUGCCUGGGUUGAAUCCCUAACACCAAAAUAGAAAACAAAACAGAACAAAACAAAAAACAAAUUAACAUCUCAAAGAUUUCUGUUAAAAUAAGUUAAAUAUUUUAAAGAGCAAGUUAAUUUUUAAUUUUUGUAUUUUAAGAUAAAAUUCUCAAAUUUUAAGAUUAAAAAAAAAAACCCCUAAGAUAAUAAGCAGGGAGCUGGGAGUGGUGGGGCAUGCCUGUAAUCCCAGCAGCUGGUGAGGCUAAGGCAGGAGUAUCUCAAGUUCAAAGCUUGUCUCAGCAACUUAGCAAGACCUUAUCUGUAAAUAAAAUAUAAAAAGGACUGGAGAUGUGGCUCAGUACCAAAAUAAUAAUAAUGAUGAUAAUAAUAAUAAUAAUAAUAAUAAUAAUAAUAGACAGGAAGAAUUGUUACUUGAAAAUUGGUGGAAAUCUCUUGGCAAAAGAUUCUCCCACAGUUGUAUGUUGUGGAAUCAAGUCUAUGAUACCCUCUUAGAAAAUUCUUGGACAAUAGAUUUAGAGGAGUCACAGAGAGUUUAUCCCUGCUGGAGAGUCACAGUACUUGCACAUAUUUGUAUGGCCACAGAACAUUUUCUUUUUCUCCUGUGUAAUUCUUUUGUUUGGCAGGAUAUGUUUUUGGAAGCACUGGGAAAACACUUGUAUACCACAAUGUCUUCAGGGGCACAGAGUGUAGUGGGUCUAAAGAGAUCAUAUCAAUGUAAGGAAAGUAAGGAAUGAAGGAAAUAAAAGGAGUCAACAAUAAUAAGGAAAUAAAAGUGUCAACAGUAAGUGACACAGGUAAGUUACCGACAGACCUGGGGAGCGAGACCCAGAGGACUGAGACCUGUCUUCUGCUUAAGGUAGAUAGAGGAGAGGGAGGAGAUUUUUGCAGUUAAGCCAUUGCUAGAAGGGUUAUUAAAGAAGGGUUCUUGUGGUGUUGCCUUCAGGUGUUUUCAGUCCCAGGUAACAAUUUCCUUUUCUGUGAUGAUAGAGCGUUUGGAGUUUCUUAGCAUGAUGAUCGAGUAUUGAUGGGGUUUAGGUCAGGCUGAGUCAGAGUGACCAUGAAGUGAUCCUUGGUCGAUGGGUGUGUUUCAAAAUGGCGCUGCCCUGUCAAGUUCUUUCUAAGAGUCAAUGCAUGGGCUAGGCACAGACAUCUGAGAGGGUAUGUGGAAGGGGAACUUGAUUCAGAUCUGGGAGUUUCCAGAAAGGUCUUCUAGAAGACAUGAUGUCUAAAUUGGUGGAGAGAGAAAGGGAGUGUAGAGUAUAUUAGAGAGAAUAGCAUGUAGAGAACACCUGGAGGUAAAUUCAGACACUUCCAAGUUGUUUAGUAGUUAUAGAAUGUAGAGAUUGAAGCAGGGAGGAGGAAGGUAAAGGCCAGAGAGCAUAGGCAGUGGACUAUGAACCUGUGGAGGUCUUUUAGGGUUUACCUUGAAGACAAUGGCCAACCAUUGGGAGGUUUUAGGUGAGAAUGACUUAUUUACUUUACUUAUUUACUACAAGAAGAUUACAGGGUUUAUUGCAGAGAAUGGAUUGAAGAAGAAAAAGCUGGAGGCAGAAAGGCCUGGGAGACAAUUUAGGCAAGAGUUUAUGGUGACUAACUAGAGUAGUAAUGACACGAACUAGGAUAGUGGCAAUCAAGAUACAGAGACAAGGGCAGAUAGAGGAGAUAUUUUAGAGGUGGAAUCAGUAGUCCUUGGUGGUUGAUUGAAUGGGAAGAAUAGGGAGGAAUUAAGAGUGAUGCCCUGUUUUCUAACUUGGACACUGAGUAUACUGAGUAUACUGAGGAGCCCUUAGGGAGUACAGGAGGGGUAGAAGGUCUUGGUGGGGGAAAUGAUAGGUUAAAUUAGCAAUAAAAGCUUUUGUUCCUUGGUACCUAAUCAGCUAAGUUGCAUACAAAUGAGCAGACUGCCCAUCGCCGCAGCUCAGUGGUAGACUGCUCCUAGGUUCAAUUAUCAGUACUGCAAAUAACUAAAUGUGGUAUUAUAACAAUUAAAAAAUGAUAAUUUUGGGCCCGGUGGCACAUGCCUGUAAUCCCAGUGGCUCAGGAGGCUGAAACAGGAGAAUUGUAAGUUCAAAGCCAGCCUCAGCUAACUCAGUGAGACCCUUUCUCUAAAUAAAAUACAAAAUAGGGCUGAGGAUGUGGCUCAGUGGCUGAGUGCCCCUGAGUUCAGUAAAUGAUAAUUUUGUUUUGUUCAUGUAGUAAUUAGGUAACACAGUUGUAAAAGUGUGUUGUUACUCAAAGUGAUCGUGACUAUUAUUACUAUUUUUAAAGGAAGUGGAGUGCCCAUUCCUUAGUGCAGCUAAAGGAAUGUUCAAGAAAAUUUAUAGCUGAACAGUUGGAAAUUACUUACCAGGGAGAACAAGAUUUCUCCAUUUUGCUGAGAGAGAUUAUCCAGAGGCCAGAGAUGAAAGCAAAUGUAUCUUAUUAUUUUUUUUUACAUUGACCCUGUCUCAAAAUAAAAAUAAAAAGCUCAGUGGUAAAGUGCCCCUGGAUUUAAUCGCCAAUAUCUAAAUAAAUAAAUAUACAAAUAAAAAUAAUUUUACUUUUAUUUGUAUAUUUACCCCCAAUUCUUAUUCCCUUAGUCUAGAUGUCUGCAGACAUGAAUAUUAUGAGGAACAUGCUUUGAGGUUCACCCAUCAGGGAAAUCCUUUGACUAUUGUAUUGAAGAAGUAUUGUAUUCCCCAUAGGAUGUCCAAUGGGAUACCAUUAGUAUUCCCCAUCUAUAUUAAAUUUGGUGAUACUUAAUUGAGAAAGCAUUUCAUAUGCUCUUAUGAUCUAUAGAACAUACUCUGGAAAGUGCAUAACUGUGUUAUGGUACUGCUAGGAGCUGGUUCAAAAAGAGUUGGAAUGUGCAUGUGCGUCUCCCACCUUCUUUUCUCUCUCUGGGUAAGAGGUAAAAGGCAACCUUCAGAGAUAAAUGGGCUGCGACUUUCUGUAGAAUAUAGUUUCUAGGGUCUUGGGCAAAAUUACCAAGUACAAAUAUUGUCAGUAUCAGAAGAGGAAGAAUUUUCAAGUCUGAACCCUUCUUCUUUUUGUAAAAUAUAUAUUUUUUAGUUGUUGAUGGACCUUACACGUAUUUAUAUGUGGUGCUGAGAAUCGAACCUAGUGCCUCACACGUGCUAGGCAAGCACUUUACCACUGAGCCACAACCCCAGCCCCUGAACCCUUCUUCUUGAUGGUCCAUGCCAUCUCUUCACACCCACCCACCCAACCCCACACCAAGAUCUCUUAAGCCAUUUUCAUUCUCUCUUUAUCUUCACCUCUCUCUUCAUUGACUUCUCCUUUGUCUGUGAGUACGGUCUUACUUUUCUUCACAUAAAAUAAACUUCCUCUCAACUUCACCUGUAAAACAUGGUAUAAAAGACUUCUAAUAUUGGUAUUAGAAUCUGCUCCUAUGUACAAGGGAAUAAAUGUUAUUAGUCAUACAAUUAUGAAUAUUACUUUAGCUACAGCACACAAGAAAUUUAGCACAGCCUUUGGCAUAUAAAAGGCUUUGUAAACGCUGAUUUUGCUUUAUAAUGUUGAUUUAGUGGGUAUUGUUUUUAAUAUUGCUUCUCCCAACAGUGUCUUUCACCAUCUUCCUGCCUCUUCUCUUUCACAACCCAGAUCCUGGAUCUCUCCCAUUUGGUUUGUUCAUCACUGACAAAAUUACCACCAUCUUUACUUUCUUUGCAGUAUUAAUCACAGAAGAAGUAUUUCUUUGAAAUUUCCUACUUUUGUAUGAUACAUACAUUUUUCUUGAAGAGAGGCCUCUUUUCCUAUUUCAGCAUCACGGCUAAUAACUCUGUUCUUUAGUCCCUGGACUGUUCUGCACCUUUAGGCUUAGAUGUUUCCUGAAGUACCUGACUCUUUCAUCUUCUCUAUUCUCUGCUUCUCAGUUUCCAAAAGGCUUUUAUCAUCACCUUAACAAGGAUGCUCCUGAACUCUCCAGGCCGAAACCUCUGUGUUUCUAACUAAUGUGGAAUUCCAUCAUCCCCGCUCUUGUCUUUCAAGGAUUUUCCUGUAUCCCAUGUCUUGCAUGAAGGCUUCACAUGUGUCUGCAGAAGGCAGAAAGGAUUCUCUUUCUACAGAUUUUUUCCCCCACAUUUUUUAUUGGGGAAUUAUCGUUGUCUUUCUACAGAGUCUCAUGGCCUAUGCUUGUGCCAUAUAUUACUUAAGCCCUUUCAUGGUAUCUACUUGUAGACAGAAGUUCUUCUGUUCUGGUUUGAGUAUUUGGACAUUACUUUAUUUAUUUACUUACUUAUUUACUUGCAGUGAUGGAGACUGAACCCAGGACCACCUUACACUUGCAAGGCGACACUCUGCCACUGAGUUAUGCCCAACCCUUAUUUAUUUUAUUUAUGACAAUAAUUUGAGUUAUCAAAGUAUUUUUUGAUGAAUGAUUAAAGCUCUUGUUCUUAUAGUUAUCAAUGUUUUUGUUUUUUGGUGAUACUGGGGAUUGAACCCAGGGGUCUCUACUGUUGAGCUAUAUCCCUUUUUAAAAAAAAAUAUUUAUUUUUUAGUUCUAGGUAGACACAAUAUCUUCAUUUUAUUUUUAUGUGGUGCUGAGGAUCCAACCCAGUGCCUCACACAUGCUAGGCGAGCACUUUACCUCUGAGCCACAACCCCAGCCUUGGGAUGUCAUUUUAAUGACAUCUUUAGGAGGACGGGUGUGAUAUGCUCUGAAGUCAUCUGUAAGGUUAAAAAUAAUGUGCAUUCAAAAUGAUCCUUGAAAAGCUCUUUGCCCAUAAAGUACAGUAAGCACUUGAUGAUUUUCAUUGGGAACUACUUUUCCCUCUAUGUUGGAACUUUUUUUUCAUUGAGACCAGAUUGAACAGGUGAUCAUGAAGUACCAGAAUCUAUUCACUUCGCAGACUAAGACAUGCUCUCAUGUGAGAAUUGAGGCCAACUAGGGAAUGAUGGAUUCUCUUCUCCUUCCUCACCUCACCUUAGGCCUGUAUGUCGUCACUUGCUGGUAGUAUCUCUCCAUGUGUGGUUCAAGGACUCCUGAAAGUCCCUGAAACUCUUUCAAUGGUCCUAAAAGUCAAAAUGACUUUCAUAAUGGUACUGAUAUGAGAUCUGCCCUUUAAUUCAUUCUUUCAUGAAGGUACUUUUUCUAAGAUUCAAUGAUGAAUCCAAAAAAUUCUAAAAAGUUCAUUAAAAUGCUUUCUUUGGGGCUGGGGUUGUGGCUCAGUGGUAAACACUUUCUUAACACGUGUGAGGCACUGGGUUCAAACCUCAUCACCACAUAAAAUAAAUAAAUAAAAUAAAGGUAUUGUGUCCAUCUACAACUUAAAAAAUUAAAAAACCCCAAACCUUUCUGUGUCCAACUACAUGUCUAUGUGAGGCCAAUUUUCUUAUAUACUUCAACCCAAACUAUUCAAAAAUAGACUGAAUGCAGAAGCAAAUAUGAAGACCUAGCUGUCCUAUUCCAGAAAUGAGAGAUUUUCAGAAUUACAGGACAAGGCCCUUCUCCCCUACUCCUGCCCCCCACUUCCUUUUCACCCUCUCUUCCUCCAUCUUCUUUACUGAGGGUUAAAUCCCGAAGUGUUCUACCAUUUAGCUAGUUUCCUAGUCCUUUGUAUUUAUUUAUUUUUACUUCUGAGAUAGGAUCUCACUAAUUUGUUGAGACUGGCCUUGAUCUUGCAAUCCUCCUGCCUCAUCCUCACAAAGAGGACUACAGGAGUGCCGCUGUACCCUGCAAGAAAAUGCUCUUCUAAACUUUAAAUGUUUUUUUUUUCUUAAAAAUGUUAUUUAUGUUAACGUGUUUUAGACUAAUCAUUAUUUUUUUUAAAUGAACCAGUUAAUAAAUACUUUUAAAGUCCCAAUUUUAAUUUCUAAUAUGGAAAAUACUGGUAGACUCAAUUCGAAGUUUUUUGGGGGUUGUUGGUAAUUUUUAUAAGUAUGAAGUAAUCCUAAGUCUAAAACAUUUGAGAACUGCUGCUCUUGGGGAUAAGAGACACUGGAAUGUGGAAUGGUCACUAAAUUGCCCACAAUGUUAAAAUUAUUUCUGCCUCACACUUCACCUUCUAGCUCUCUCUCACAUUCUUUCAGCAAAAAUUUUGGAAUUGUCUAAUUAAAUAUGUGGUAUGUGUACCCACCAAUUUUUUUUUUUUUUUUUUGUCUCUGCCAAAGUUGAAGAAGUAAAAUCCUGUUCUCUUUCUGCUGUACUACACUGAAAAAAAAAAAAAUAAGACAAUCUCCAUUUUUGCCAUGGGGGUCAUAAAUAGCUUUUAAACUAUUUAGGCUUUACUGUCCCAGAUGAUGAUAAAUUUCUUAAAAAUCAAUUAUUUAAAAGUAUAGGUUAACUAGUAACUCCAAGAAAAGUUUGUUGUUGUUGUUGUUUUUGUUUUAUUAGAUUACACAGAUCAUUCAGAUGUAGUCCUAGUCAAGUUCUGGAUAAUUUAAUAAGCUACUCUGAAAUAAAUACUAUGUGUGUGGGAUGGGAAUGUGUACCUCAGGUCAGUGGUAGGACACUUGCCUAGCAUGUGGCAUGGUUUUGAUCUCCAGCAAAAUACACACACACACACACACACACACAACACACACACAAAUAAAUAAAAAGUAAGUAAAGACCAUCUAUGUAUGUACAUAAUAAAUUUGUGGGUAUUUUGCUGCUCGGAAAUCAGAAAGGAUUGAGUUCAUUAAAUUGGGAAAUCUUAGCAGAUUAAAGUGGUUAUAUAACAACUAGGCCCGACAUUUGGUUUAAGCUUUGUAUUUUUUUAUUCAGGGACAGUUGUAAAGAACAGUAAUAAAAGAAUCUUCCAUUUCCUCUGUAUUCCUUAUCAAAAUGAUUUAACAUGACCUGAAGUGAAAAAUGCUUUAUUUGUGUAUUUUACUCCCCAGGAGACUGGGUAGCCCUGACGCAUGUAUGACACUUGAGGAAAAGGAGAUCUUUCACUGCUGUUUUGAAACUGGGUUUUUGGACUGAAAUAAUGAGGGAUUUAGUUCAUGGAGAGAGGAAGGAAGGGGUGUGACAUCACUUUGGUUUGUACCUUUAUGAUCCACUCUGUUGGGAGGGUCACUGUUGAAUUCCUCUAAUUCCCCAGUUGGCUCUGUGGAGAAUUCAUAAAUGCUUUCUACUCAUUUACUCAUGAGUUUAUAUGAUCUGGAAACUCAUUCUAAGGUGCUAAAUACCUUUGUCCAAGAAGGCAGUACAGGAAAGUGUUAGUAAAAUCUCUCACCUCUGUAGGAGAAGUGGCAUUUUGGAGAAUUGUGGUUUAUUUAGUUGACAUCAUAUUUUUAGAGGUUUUCCUUUAAAAAAGAAAAUUACUAACAACAAAAGAAUGUUCACCUUUUAUUACCAAAAAGGAAAAAAAAGAUGUAAGAUUAUUCUGUGGUCUCUUUCAAAGUAUACUGCUAAAUGCUGCCCUCUGGAAAGAGUAUUUAGUGAACUGGGUGGCACAUAACUAUAAUUCUAGCAAUGAGGAGGCUGAGGCAGGAGAAUAGCAAGUUGAAGGCCAGCCUCAGCAACUUAGCAAGACACUGUCUUAACAUUAAAAAACUGAUGGGGGGGGGCGGUUUGCUGAGAAUGUACCUCAGUGGUAGAACACCUCUGGGUUAAAUCUCUGAAAGCACCAACAUAAAAAAAUAAAAAAUAAAUUUUUAAAAAAAUUAUUUAAAGGAAAAUCAACAUACCUCAUGGUAAUGUUGGUGCAACAGGCCUUUAAUUUCUGGAUACGUUGGGUUUGGAUGCUGUUUUUCUGAGUGUUCCUCUUGGAUCCAGUGAGUGAAAUGAGGCAUCCCUGCAGAGUUCAAACAAAAUUCAGGACAGGGCUCUGAGCUGAUGCUUCUGGUGAACCAGCCAGCUUUGCACUGAUACUUUUCCUAAGCCAAAAGAUUGUUCGUGCACCUGCAAGUCCAUUUGCCUGGCACUCAGUCUGAAGGGGUCUUGCUCCAAGGAAGGAGCUCUGUGGAGAAUAUAGCAAACAUCACUCUGGAGUCUGAAAAUCUUCCUUCUUCAUUUAACCUAUUCUAUUGAUUCCCCAAAGACUGCAGAUUCCAAGAUAAAUAAAGCAAUGCCUCUUUUGAUGUAAAUUGUAAUAAGGUUAAUAAGUAAAGAUAGCAGACCAAGUACAGUCAAACUUCAGUACUGUCAUAUGUGAAUAGAACCGGUGGCAUCAAAAUAGGAGCAAGUCAUUAGUUCAUCCAAAAAGUAUUUAUUAGAUGUUGGAUUUUAUUUUAUAACUUUAUUUUGUUUAUUUAGUUAUUUAUGUGGUGCUGGAGAUCAACCCAGUACCUCAUACUGCAAGACAAGUGCUCUAUGACUGAGCCACAACCCUAGCCCAGAUGUUAGCUAUUUGAGGGUACAACCUCCACUCUUUUUUAAAACAGAAAAGAAAUGACCUGUUACCUGUCCCUUCUUAUGCCCAAUCGUACCGCACUAUGGAAUCAAAACAAAUAAAAUAAUUUUCUGAAAGCUAAGGAAUCUCUAAGAUUAUACCUGCUCAGAGAUUUCCCUGAGAAAAUGGUCUGGAAACCCUCAAAAAUUGUAGAGUAGAUAUGCUGUCAGGGAGGGGCUGAGGCUGGGGCACUUACCUGGAAUGGGUGAGGGCCUGGGUUUGAUCCCUCAGCACCACAAAGCAAAAAAAAAAAAAAAAAAAAUACUGUCAGUUAGGGAAGUGUUAUUUUAUGUACAGCUGCUGUUGGAGGACCAGUCUUUGGAACAAUUCUUUCUAAUUCCUGGCCCUCACCUGAGGCCUAAGAUUGAAUGUAAAAUCGGAUUGUAUUUUAGGGUAAAGCAAACUGAAGUCAACACUAUUUUUAUUUCUCCCUUUUCCUCCCCCAAGUAACAAUAAUUACAAAACAAACAAAAUACACCCCUUCUGUGAAGGCUGCCACAGUGGCCACAGAAAUGGCAUAGUCCCCACUGUUAACUACUAUUGUGUCAAUGGUUUACUACUCCAUCAGAAGAAGCUAGCCCAUUGGGCAUUUGUCCCAUCCAUAUUUGGGCUACUACAUCAGAACCAGCAAACCUUGACCAUGGGGUCUCUCCAGGGUGUGUUGGAGAGCAUAUUGAAAAUGAGACCAUUAUGAAAGCAGAAAAGAAUAAAGUUUUAAAGUAAGAAUUAUUUGAAAUACUUGAAAAUCAAGACUGCUUUUCUCUUGCCAUAAUUUUGAGCUAAGAUAUGGGAGUUUAGGAAAACCAAUUCUAUGUUCUUUUUAUGCGUGUGCUUCCUUGUUUACACCUGUGGAGGAAAAUUCUACAAAGUGUACCUGAAGUGUGUUUUAAGUGUGUUCAUUUUGUUGCCCAUUCAGAAAGCACUGGGUUGAGCCCUGGGGCAACAGAAAUGACUGGCACUGGGACUAUGGGAGCUAUCAUAAAAGUAGGCCAUAAAGGACACUAAAUUGUAUUAUGAGUGGUCCUGUGAGGAAGAUUUAAAAGUCAGGAUGUAUUUUCUGUGGGAAAAAAAAUACAUUAAAUUUAAAUUCUCAGGCUACCAACCAAAAGCUGAGUUUUACCUUUGAUUUGACUAAAAAUAUAUAACAUGGAAUUUAAAAUAUUUUCAUAUUAGAUAAAGGCCAAGCUUAUUGGUUGUUGGAGUUCUGUGGUAGAACCAAUGUCAUCUGCCUCUAGACUUUCAAUCCAGCUAAUGAAGGAGGUUGGCUAUGACUUGCAUUUUGUGGAAUGGGACAGAUUUUAUUACAAAGGAAGAAAGAAUUCCAGUGAACCACUUCGAUUUUGGGACGGUUAAGGGCUGUGUAACAUGAGGCAAUACUGCCAAGGUAAACUAGGUUUAUGGACUAUGUAUAGAAUCUUGCCAAGAUGGCAUCUCUCCUCUGGCACUUUUUAUUGCUCCCUGUGAAAUCUUAGGCAAAGGAAAAGGUUUUAUGAGUGAGAUUUUUGAAGUUUUGAGAGCUAGGUAUUUAUGCCACAGGAGUAUGGUGCAAGAUAUGAAAGUGAUUUUUAGCUGACUUAAGAGAACCCAUCAGUUAUGUAUUUAUUAGGAUACAUGUUGCUCAAAGUGAGAUAAUGGAUGAAUUGUAUUUUUGUGUUCACAUUUGGCUUAUUUAUGUAGUAGAAAUCAGCUUUGGUUGAUCUUAGCAUUUUAGUGAGUAGCCAUGAUAACGAAACAUUAUCUUGGUUAACUGAACUACCGUGGUUAUGCUUCUAACUUAGACACUUUCUGUUCAGUCCCAGAAAUCCUGGAUCGAAGGAGUGUUUGACAAGAGAGAAUGCAAC
RNAcentral lists this long non-coding RNA (18753 nucleotides) under Marmota monax (woodchuck). Lineage: Eukaryota; Metazoa; Chordata; Mammalia; Rodentia; Sciuridae. The record is from RNAcentral.